UACGAAGGGGGCUAGCGUUGUUCGGAUUUACUGGGCGUAAAGGGCGCGUAGGCGGGCUGAUAAGUCAGGGGUGAAAUCCCAAGGCUCAACCUUGGAACUGCCUUUGAUACUGUUUGUCUUGAGUUCGAGAGAGGUAAGUGGAACUGCGAGUGUAGAGGUGAAAUUCGUAGAUAUUCGCAAGAACACCAGUGGCGAAGGCGGCUUACUGGCUCGAAACUGACGCUGAGGCGCGAAAGCGUGGGGAGCAAACAGG
Molecule: ribosomal RNA, 253 nt
Filed under: uncultured bacterium
Lineage: Bacteria
Description: partial 16S ribosomal RNA
Rfam family: Bacterial small subunit ribosomal RNA
Source: RNAcentral